GAUGAACGCUGGCGGCGUGCCUAAUACAUGCAAGUCGAGCGAACAGACGAGGAGCUUGCUCCUCUGACGUUAGCGGCGGACGGGUGAGUAACACGUGGAUAACCUACCUAUAAGACUGGGAUAACUUCGGGAAACCGGAGCUAAUACCGGAUAAUAUAUUGAACCGCAUGGUUCAAUAGUGAAAGACGGUUUUGCUGUCACUUAUAGAUGGAUCCGCGCCGCAUUAGCUAGUUGGUAAGGUAACGGCUUACCAAGGCAACGAUGCGUAGCCGACCUGAGAGGGUGAUCGGCAACACUGGAACUGAGACACGGUCCAGACUCCUACGGGAGGAAGCAGUAGGGAAUCUUCCGCAAUGGGCGAAAGCUUGACGGAGCAACGCCGCGUGAGUGAUGAAGGUCUUCGGAUCGUAAAACUCUGUUAUUAGGGAAGAACAAAUGUGUAAGUAACUAUGCACGUCUUGACGGUACCUAAUCAGAAAGCCACGGCUAACUACGUG
RNAcentral lists this ribosomal RNA (497 nucleotides) under uncultured bacterium. RNAcentral describes it as "partial 16S ribosomal RNA". It matches the Rfam family "Bacterial small subunit ribosomal RNA", at positions 28 to 507 of the family's 1533-position model. The record is from RNAcentral.